GACGAACGCUGGCGGCGUGCUUAACACAUGCAAGUCGAACGGAAAGGCCCUGCUUUUGUGGGGUGCUCGAGUGGCGAACGGGUGAGUAACACGUGAGUAACCUGCCCUUGACUUUGGGAUAACUUCAGGAAACUGGGGCUAAUACCGGAUAGGAGCUCCUGCUGCAUGGCGGGGGUUGGAAGGUUUCGGCGGUGGGGGAUGGACUCGGGGCUUAUCAGCUUGUUGGUGGGGUAGUGGCUUACCAAGGCUUUGACGGGUAGCCGGCCUGAGAGGGUGACCGGCCACAUUGGGACUGAGAUACGGCCCAGACUCCUACGGGAGGCAGCAGUGGGGAAUAUUGCACAAUGGGCGGAAGCCUGAUGCAGCAACGCCGCGUGCGGGAUGACGGCCUUCGGGUUGUAAACCGCUUUCGCCUGUGACGAAGCGUGAGUGACGGUAAUGGGUAAAGAAGCACCGGCUAACUACGUG
This 468-nucleotide ribosomal RNA is filed under the name uncultured bacterium. Its description in RNAcentral is "partial 16S ribosomal RNA". It matches the Rfam family "Bacterial small subunit ribosomal RNA", at positions 28 to 507 of the family's 1533-position model. The record is from RNAcentral.